CGGGUGCGUAACGCGUAUGCAACCUACCUUUUCCAGGGGGAUAGCCUUCCGAAAGGAGAUUAACACCGCAUAAGAUCAUUAAUUGGCAUCAGUUGGUGAUGAAAUCUACGGAGGGAAAAGAUGGGCAUGCGUCCGAUUAGCUAGUUGGCGGGGUAGUGGCCCACCAAGGCCACGAUCGGUCGGGGACCUGAGAGGGCGAUCCCCCACACUGGCACUGAGAUACGGGCCAG
RNAcentral lists this ribosomal RNA (230 nucleotides) under uncultured bacterium. Its description in RNAcentral is "partial 16S ribosomal RNA". It matches the Rfam family "Bacterial small subunit ribosomal RNA", at positions 103 to 334 of the family's 1533-position model. The record is from RNAcentral.